CAGCAGCCGCGGUAACACGUAGGGUGCGAGCGUUAAUCGGAGUUACUGGGCGUAAAGCGGGCGCAGACGGUUACUUAAGCAGGAUGUGAAAUCCCCGGGCUCAACCUGGGAACUGCGUUCUGAACUGGGUGACUAGAGUGUGUCAGAGGGAGGUAGAAUUCCACGUGUAGCAGUGAAAUGCGUAGAGAUGUGGAGGAAUACCGAUGGCGAAGGCAGCCUCCUGGGAUAACACUGACGUUCAUGCCCGAAAGCGUGGGUAGCAAACAGGAUUAGAUACCCCCGUAGUCCCUGUCUCUUAUAC
RNAcentral lists this ribosomal RNA (301 nucleotides) under uncultured bacterium. RNAcentral's name for it is "partial 16S ribosomal RNA". It matches the Rfam family "Bacterial small subunit ribosomal RNA", at positions 509 to 807 of the family's 1533-position model. The record is from RNAcentral.